Long non-coding RNA from Mercurialis annua (annual mercury), 225 nucleotides. RefSeq lists it as uncharacterized. Lineage: Eukaryota; Viridiplantae; Streptophyta; Magnoliopsida; Malpighiales; Euphorbiaceae. The transcript is spliced from 3 exons. The record is from RefSeq and is a predicted model, not a curated record.
GAUUAUAAACAGUCUCUUCGGUUCCAAAAUUUGAUUGAGGAGAAGAGAAACAUACAUAUGGAGGUUAUCAGAGGUGGAAAAAGAAUUGAUGUUUCCAUAUAUGAUCUUAUUGUUGGAGAUGUUGUGCCACUCAACAUUGGUGACCAGGUACCUGCUGACAGACUUCUAAUCACUGGUCACUCACUUGCUAUUGAUGAAUCAAGCAUGACCGGAGAAAGAAAUGUU